AAGUCGUAACAAGGUUUCCGUAGGUGAACCUGCGGAAGGAUCAUUAACAAGAUUAUAUACUUGUGUUUGGUGUGUGGGUCGGGGGGUGUGUUGUCGUUGCAGAUUAGAUUAGCUUGGAUUGCAAGGCGUGCAAAAAUAAAUGCGCGCGUUGUGCUGUGUGCAGAGCGUGCGAACGCGAACGCGAACGCGCACCAAUCUCUAAUCUAAUCUACACGGCGCACACCAACCACACGCGCACCAAUAAUAACACAACACACUCACAUACAUUUACUCUUUGACACUCAAUGGAGCAUUCCAAACAUUAAAACAAAACAAACAAAACUUUUAACAAUGGAUCUCUCGGCUCUU
RNAcentral lists this unclassified non-coding RNA (348 nucleotides) under fungal sp. RNAcentral describes it as "partial internal transcribed spacer region". The stretch from base 1 to 46 matches the Rfam family "Eukaryotic small subunit ribosomal RNA", at positions 1786 to 1831 of the family's 1831-position model. Lineage: Eukaryota; Fungi. The record is from RNAcentral.